Molecule: long non-coding RNA, 584 nt
Filed under: Malus domestica (apple)
Lineage: Eukaryota; Viridiplantae; Streptophyta; Magnoliopsida; Rosales; Rosaceae
Description: long non-coding RNA (MDOM_LNC010709)
Source: RNAcentral
UCUCUCCCCAAAACCAUGGCCACCAUGAAAGCCUCCAUAGUUGCCUGUCUCCCUGCCUACGUGUCCAUUUAAAUCUCCUCCUAUAAAUAACUUCUCCGUCUGAGCAAUUCCUUGCACCAAGUCUCCAAGGUCUUCCCAAAAUUUCUCCUUCAAACUCGUAUCCAACCCUACUUGAGGUGCGUACGCACUAAUCACAUUGAUGAGUUCUUGUCCUAUUACAAUCUUGAUUGCCAUGAUUCUAUCUCCUACCCUACAUCUUGUGUCAAGGUCUUGUCCACAAUGAUGCCAACACCGUUUCUCGUUCUAUUUGUGCCCGAAUACCAAAGCUUAAACCCUGAGUUUUCUAAAUCCUUUGCCUUAAGACCAACCCACUUAGUUUCUUGUAGGCAUAUAAUAUUUAUCCUUCUCCUCACCAUAACUUCCACUACUUCCAUAGAUUUUCCCGUUAAGGUUCCUAUAUUCCACGUUCCUAAAUGCAUUAUACUCUCUUGAACUCUACCCUUCUGUCCUAGCUUCUUCACCAUCCCCCGUCUAAUAGGAUCAAAGUACUUCUUUUGUGUGUCCUGUGUAAAGUUGAUAGAAGC